ACACGUAGGUGCCUAAUACAUGCAAGUCGAGCGAAUGGAUUAAGAGCUUGCUCUUAUGAAGUUAGCGGCGGACGGGUGAGUAACACGUGGGUAACCUGCCCAUAAGACUGGGAUAACUCCGGGAAACCGGGGCUAAUACCGGAUAACAUUUUGAACCGCAUGGUUCGAAAUUGAAAGGCGGCUUCGGCUGUCACUUAUGGAUGGACCCGCGUCGCAUUAGCUAGUUGGUGAGGUAACGGCUCACCAAGGCAACGAUGCGUAGCCGACCUGAGAGGGUGAUCGGCCACACUGGGACUGAGACACGGCCCAGACUCCUACGGGAGGCAGCAGUAGGGAAUUCGGAUUCC
Molecule: ribosomal RNA, 347 nt
Filed under: Bacillus cereus
Lineage: Bacteria; Bacillati; Bacillota; Bacilli; Caryophanales; Bacillaceae
Description: bacterial SSU rRNA
Rfam family: Bacterial small subunit ribosomal RNA
Source: RNAcentral